UUUUUUUUAAUUUCCUAUGCUUUAUGCGUAUUUUUGUCAAACCUGCUCUCUACAACAAUAGGCUUGAAAGACCCUUCAAGCUGUUUAUAUUGUUAACAAGACGCUUGUAUUGCCCAAAUCCACCAGCUCCAGUCAAAGCCUGGGUGCAAUUUUAAUGGGCAAAAAACAUCGUGGGAGGCAACCCCUUGGAGAUGGAUGUGGAGCUCCUUGCAGAAUUCAGGUGAUGAAACUACUACCACAGAAACCCACAGCGUAGAGAGUGUUUCUGAAAGUCAAACCUGAUCAUAACAACCUUGCCAAACAGUUUCUGUACCCCUAGAGGUUUAGGGAAAACAAAAGGGGAGAACGAAAGCUGUAUACUUGUUAAGACCAGGAGAGCUGUAUUGAGGAGUGUUUUGCCCAGCGGAGCAUGAGUGCAAUGCCAAGUAAAGUAUUUUGUGAUUUCUUGAAGGAUGAAAUGUGGUUAUCUAGUGUAGUCAAUUUUAGGGAGACAGGGCAGAAGCACGAGGCAGCAAGGGGUGGUACGUGGAGUUAAGAGUAGAGCAAGUUGGUUAAUAAGACAGGCAGGGAAAAGGCUGUCUAGAAUCAUAGGAGCAAGAGGGGCACCCUAUGUAUUCAUCCUUCUGGCAGUGGUAUCUCUAGCACAAACUGCAUAGGAAAAGGAGAAAAAAGGCAUGAACAUCAGUGAACGAGGAAGAUGCAGAGGAAUUGGUGGAGCUGGGAUGUGGUGAAGAGCUAGCAGAAAACCCUGCCCAUUCCACAGAUCCAAACCUGGUGUUUUGGAGGUCUCCAGAUGUCAUGGUCAUCAGCAUGUACCUGUGAAACACAUAGAGAACAUGGCUAUCUCCUUGUGGCAUGCAGCUCUCCCUAUGGCAUAGCUUGAUGUCUAAAAUAAUAACCUGUUGUUAUAGCUGUUGCUGAAAUGGACUCCUCUUAACACAAAUUGUGGAGAUGCUGCCAGUGCUGCAGGCACUUGCCCAAAAGCAAAAGAAGGAAAGGGCUGAGCUUUGUGGUAAGUACGUGCCAUCAUUCCUAAUGGAAAGGAGAAUGGGAUGGGAUCUUCAGGGUCCUUCCCGCAACAGAGUGGAUGUUAGCAUCUCUUAUGAAGGAGGGGAACACACUCAACAUUAUUUCUGCCUUUGCAGCCUCGUGAAUGACUGCCAUGUCCUUAGGACAGUCUACCUCAGAAGUCAGUGCAGUUGCUAUGAGAAGUUCUGAUGUGAACAGCUGUGUCUUUUCCAAUUCUGAUGUAUGUCUCCACAUACAUGAAUUCACAUCUGAUGAUAUUCACUAGAUUUGAUCCAAAUAUAUUAGAGUUUGAAGUUGUAAUUUUCAUUAAAGUGACUUGCCAGAAGAACUUUAUCCAACAUCCAGGACAAUACUGCAUAAAAAAAGGUGAAAGUACACUGCUAACUUAGUUCCUAAUCGCUCCAGACCAAGCAGGCUUUACCUGCUGAUAAAUCCCAUGGUGCCCUUGUCUCUGUUAGCUCAGUUUCCUGUCAGCUCUUAAAACUUAAAACUUUCAUCUAAGGUCUGUGCCAGCGCUCCACAGCCUGAGGUAUUUAGAUGUUCAGCCACCUCUCCUGAGAGCCGCAGCACUUGGACAGCACCCUGAGAUUCCCAUCCAACAGAAGGCCAUGCACAAGCACCCAAUGACUAAUACUUUUUCUUUUGGGGAUAUUUUCCAGCUUCUCUUUGCAGGACUCUGGAACUUGAACAGAGGAGAAUGAACCCUGGGGAGUUGCCAUAGGAACCUCUGUUGGUUUUCUUUUUUUUUAAUGUUGUCUGAGAUGAAAUAGAAACAAGGAAAAAAUUACAGAGGAGAAUUGUAGACCUGAGUUUAUUAUCUCUACAGAACAGUGAAGCUGAACAAUAUCUUUAACUUCCUAAAGCAAUAACAGUCACUUUGGGGUUGAUGUCAAGUUGGUAAUUUUCACUGGAAUAAAAAUUAAUUGCUGUAUUUAUUCA
This is a long non-coding RNA of Numida meleagris (helmeted guineafowl), 1968 nucleotides long. Lineage: Eukaryota; Metazoa; Chordata; Aves; Galliformes; Numididae. The record is from Ensembl.